AGCCUGUAGAGAUCGAGGUAAAACACUCUCAACGGAUGAAUGAUCCUCCCCUCAGACCUUGGGUAGCAAUAGCGAAAGAUGGUCAGAUCCUGUGCUGCCACUGUACCUGCAUGGCUGGAUUGGGUGAAACAUGUUCACAUUCAGCAGCAUCCCUGUUCGCCCUGGAGACAUUAAUACGUAUGAAGACGGCCACUUCAUGCACAUCACUACCUUGUCAGUGGCUGAAACCAUCAGCAUCGCACAUAGAAUAUGCUGAAGGAUGCAAUAUCGAUUUUGCCCGUCCAGCCCAGAAACGAAAGUCAGAAGUUUCAACUCCUGAGGAAAGUGCUGCGAGAAAACUGCUGAAUGUUCCUCCACCAACUGAAGAGCAGAAAGCUGCCUUUUACAAGGCUUUGUCUGAAUGCGGUGGAAGACCAGCAAUUUUGAGCAUUGUCCCUGACUAUGCUGACAACUUUGUGCCAAGGGCAGUGAAGCGAAAGCU
Molecule: long non-coding RNA, 481 nt
Organism: Syngnathus acus (greater pipefish)
Lineage: Eukaryota; Metazoa; Chordata; Actinopteri; Syngnathiformes; Syngnathidae
Exons: 3
Source: RefSeq, a predicted model, not a curated record